RNAcentral lists this ribosomal RNA (253 nucleotides) under uncultured bacterium. RNAcentral's name for it is "partial 16S ribosomal RNA". It matches the Rfam family "Bacterial small subunit ribosomal RNA", at positions 524 to 776 of the family's 1533-position model. The record is from RNAcentral.
UACGAAGGGGGCUAGCGUUGCUCGGAAUCACUGGGCGUAAAGCGCACGUAGGCGGUUCGUUAUGUCGGAUGUGAAAUCCCUGGGCUCAACCCAGGAACUGCGUCCGAUACUGGGAGGCUUGAAUCCGGGAGAGGGAUGCGGAAUUCCAGGUGUAGCGGUGAAAUGCGUAGAUAUCUGGAGGAACACCGGUGGCGAAGGCGGCAUCCUGGACCGGUAUUGACGCUGAGGCGCGAAAGCCAGGGGAGCAAACGGG